This 339-nucleotide unclassified non-coding RNA is filed under the name soil metagenome. Its description in RNAcentral is "partial contains 5.8S ribosomal RNA, internal transcribed spacer 2, and large subunit ribosomal RNA". The stretch from base 1 to 120 matches the Rfam family "5.8S ribosomal RNA", at positions 35 to 154 of the family's 154-position model. The record is from RNAcentral.
GAUGAAGAACGUAGCGAAAUGCGAUAAGUAAUGUGAAUUGCAGAAUUCAGUGAAUCAUCGAAUCUUUGAACGCACAUUGCGCCCUUUGGUAUUCCGAAGGGCAUGCCUGUUCGAGCGUCAUUACAACCCUCAAGCUCUGCUUGGUAUUGGGCACCGUCCUUUGCGGGCGCGCCUCAAAGACCUCGGCGGUGGCGUCUUGCCUCAAGCGUAGUAGAACAUACAUCUCGCUUCGGAGCGCAGGGCGUCGCCCGCCGGACGAACCUUCUGAACUUUUCUCAAGGUUGACCUCGGAUCAGGUAGGGAUACCCGCUGAACUUAAGCAUAUCAAUAAGCGGAGGA